Long non-coding RNA from Andrographis paniculata, 1361 nucleotides. RefSeq lists it as uncharacterized. Lineage: Eukaryota; Viridiplantae; Streptophyta; Magnoliopsida; Lamiales; Acanthaceae. The transcript is spliced from 5 exons. The record is from RefSeq and is a predicted model, not a curated record.
UCUACUGCCGCAAGGACAUAGAUAGAAUUCAAGUGGUAGGGAAGAUAGGAAAUUGGGUUUUCUAGAUCUAGCCACCAUUGAGGGGAAUAUUCAGAUCAUUCUGCUUACCAGUUUGAGUUGUCCUUCCGUCAAUUCCUUUAAAUUUCAACCUUGCGACUAUACUUCCUGAAACCCAAAAACUUUGAUUUCUCGUAAGGUGCCGGCGGAAUUCUAAAAGUAAUAUCCGCCGAUCUCAUCGUAUAUAAAUUGAAAUCUAAGGAUAGAAUCGCCUAUAUAUAAUUUUUAUAUACUCUAACAUUGUGCCUAGAACCAUUAGACGCAAUUGUAGACAGAGAUAUUAACUUUUCUUUUACGCUUGGGGAUAGAAGAUGCAGAUCACAUUGUUGCCGGCAAAAAAUUCAAUCAGAAGAUAAGCAUCAUUCAAAGUAUUUAAACACGACUUAAGGGGUGAAACAUACAUUCUCGAAAUGAAUUAUAAGAAAUGAUGAAAAUGAAAAACAGGCGUACCAUAUAUCUGUUGUCCGAAAUGAUGGGAAACACGAUAUUGUAGUGAAGAAGAUGUCACAACAAUAUACUCAAAACCCAUCAAGAGAAAUAAUAAACCACCAAUUGAACCAACGUAUAAUUUAUCUUUAUAAGAACGGCUGGAGGGUUGGGUAUCCAAAUAAGAAAGCGUAAUAAUUCAAGUUUCACCGAUAAGUAUUAUAUCCACCUACAAGCCUCGCAUACGCUUCGUUGCCUUAAAGAAGUUGCAUUCUUUAUACUCUAUGGAUGUAAGAUGAAACAUCUUCGUGAGCAGAUAAAUUUUAAAAGAAAGGAUACAAAAAGACAAAGAGAUGUAGAUUUUUGAAUGGCUUUCGAACAAUCCAAUAGUGGUUUGUAACUUAUUGAUUAAUUCACAUUUAUCAAAUUUCUAUUGUAAAUUGUAUGAUUACUGCCCUAGUGAUAUUCGGCUCCUCUUUACAUAUGUAUGUAUUUAUGUAUAUAUGUGAUGAGGAUGAGGAGGGGAUUUUAUUAUCCGCAAGCUAUAAUUGCAUCGUGAAGAGGAGGAAACUGGAAAAUGCCAUUGGGGAGAAUGCUUUGCUGGAAAAAUUCAGAUAUUUUGGAAGAGAUAGAUGGAGUACAUAUUUUUCCUUUCUCUUUCAAUGAUUUGAUGAUGAGUAGGAGCUGUCUUCCUAAAACUCUGCGUCGACACAGCCACAUCGAAGCCCUCUAUGAGCUCGGUCACUCUCCUUCCUACCUAAUUCAUUCAUAAUGAAGUGAAAGUAUAAUGAUGCAUUGGUUUAUGUAAUAAUUAUCUCGAGAAGAUUAAAUUUUAUAUCAUGCAAUUAUGGUAUGUGAGUAGGUAUGGUAAAAUAAUU